RNAcentral lists this ribosomal RNA (460 nucleotides) under uncultured bacterium. Its description in RNAcentral is "partial 16S ribosomal RNA". It matches the Rfam family "Bacterial small subunit ribosomal RNA", at positions 338 to 795 of the family's 1533-position model. The record is from RNAcentral.
CCUACGGGUGGCAGCAGUGAGGAAUAUUGGUCAAUGGACGAGAGUCUGAACCAGCCAAGUAGCGUGAAGGAUGACUGCCCUAUGGGUUGUAAACUUCUUUUAUAUGGGAAUAAAAUGUUCCACGUGUGGGAUUUUGUAUGUACCAUAUGAAUAAGGAUCGGCUAACUCCGUGCCAGCAGCCGCGGUAAUACGGAGGAUCCGAGCGUUAUCCGGAUUUAUUGGGUUUAAAGGGAGCGUAGGUGGAUUGUUAAGUCAGUUGUGAAAGUUUGCGGCUCAACCGUAAAAGUGCAGUUGAAACUGGCAGUCUUGAGUACAGUAGAGGUGGGCGGAAUUCGUGGGGUAGCGGUGAAAUGCUUAGAUAUCACGAAGAACUCCGAUUGCGAAGGCAGUUCACUGGACUGCAACUGACACUGAGGCUCGAAAGUGUGGGUAUCAAACAGGAUUAGAUACCCUUGUAGUC